RNAcentral lists this ribosomal RNA (460 nucleotides) under uncultured bacterium. Its description in RNAcentral is "partial 16S ribosomal RNA". It matches the Rfam family "Bacterial small subunit ribosomal RNA", at positions 338 to 795 of the family's 1533-position model. The record is from RNAcentral.
CCUACGGGAGGCAGCAGUGAGGAAUAUUGGUCAAUGGGCGGGAGCCUGAACCAGCCAAGUCGCGUGAGGGAAGACGGUCCUAUGGAUUGUAAACCUCUUUAGGCGGGGAGCAAUGCCGGGCACGCGUGCCCGGAGGGAGAGUACCCGCAGAAUAAGCAUCGGCUAACUCCGUGCCAGCAGCCGCGGUAAUACGGGGGAUGCGGGCGUUAUCGGGUUUUAUUGGGUUUAAAGGGUGCGUGGGGGGAGUUUUAAGUCAGCGGUAAAAUGUCGGGGCUCAACCCGGGCCGGCCGUUGAAACUGGGGAUCUGGAGUGGGUGAGAGGUAUGCGGAAUGCGUGGUGUAGCGGUGAAAUGCAUAGAUAUCACGAGGAACGCCGAUUGCGAAGGCAGCAUACCGGCGCCCGACUGACGCUGAGGCACGAAAGCGUGGGGAUCGAACAGGAUUAGAUACCCGAGUAGUC